Molecule: long non-coding RNA, 417 nt
Filed under: Vigna radiata
Lineage: Eukaryota; Viridiplantae; Streptophyta; Magnoliopsida; Fabales; Fabaceae
Description: long non-coding RNA (VRAD_LNC001687)
Source: RNAcentral
AAAGGCUUCUCCCUCUUAUUCCACAUAUGAGAGGCACGUCUUCAUCUGCCAACGCAAGGGGCUUAUCAAACCCUACAACCAAGGUCGGAACGUCAUUUAUGCCGGAAGCACCAUCGUCCCUAGACUCCUCCUUCCGUGAGCACAGGUUCUUUGAAUCCUGCCCUCAUAGGUGCUGCAACGAUGAUGGCUUGUAAACGGGAAGUGGGGAUGUUACAGCGGUGGCGCGUUCAUGACUAUAUGUGUUGAGAAAAUCAAGUCUAAGGAAUAAUUUAUGUUUGAAUCUAAUCUAUUUUCUGUCAUUGCUCUUUCACCCUUCUUUUGUUUUCUCCUUGUUGUUUUACGAUUCAUGUUUGUUGGAAAAUCAUAAAGGUUUUAGAAUGUGAGUAAAUGGGGGUAUAUUAUUCAUUUCUUUGAUAA